Molecule: RNA transcript, 1595 nt
Organism: Mesoplodon densirostris (Blainville's beaked whale)
Lineage: Eukaryota; Metazoa; Chordata; Mammalia; Artiodactyla; Ziphiidae
Gene: AGPAT4
Gene name: 1-acylglycerol-3-phosphate O-acyltransferase 4
Exons: 10
Source: RefSeq, a predicted model, not a curated record
CCCAUGGGUGGAGUCUCGCUUUUUCUUUCCAGUGUUGGCUGACUUACAGCUCCUAUAAACUAGUGGCAAUUUCUGCACCCCAGCCUGCUCCCUUUCAGUUUCUGAUUUCUAAGUCCAUGUGUCCAGGGCUGCCAGAAAGGAGGCGUAUUCCUGAGUCCCGGCCGUCCUCCCCUCUGGACGUGUUCUACGGCGGGCGUUUGUGGUUUGGUGGAGGAGCGCCCACCCAGCAUGGACCUCAUCGCAUUGCUGAAGUCUCAGUUCCUGUGCCAUCUCAUCUUUUGUUACGUGUUUAUCGCCUCGGGGCUCAUCAUCAACACCAUUCAGCUCUUCACUCUCCUCCUCUGGCCAAUUAACAAGCAGCUCUUCCGGAAGAUCAACUGCCGGCUGUCCUACUGCAUCUCCAGCCAGCUGGUGAUGCUGCUGGAAUGGUGGUCGGGCACGGAGUGCAUCAUCCACACGGACCCCCGGGCCUACCCCAAGUACGGGAAGGAAAACGCCAUCGUUGUUCUGAACCACAAGUUUGAGAUCGACUUUCUCUGCGGUUGGAGCCUGGCCGAGCGCUUCGGGGUCUUAGGGGGCUCCAAGGUCCUGGCCAAGAAGGAGCUGGCCUACGUCCCCAUAAUCGGCUGGAUGUGGUACUUCACGGAGAUGGUCUUCUGCACGCGCAAGUGGGAGCAGGACCGCAAGACCGUCUCGGAGAGCCUGCUUCACCUGCAGGACUACCCUGAGAAGUACUUCUUCCUGAUUCACUGCGAGGGCACGCGGUUCACGGAGAAGAAGCACCAGAUAAGCAUGCAGGUGGCCCAGGCCAAGGGGCUGCCCAGCCUCAAGCACCACCUGCUGCCUCGCACCAAGGGCUUCGCCAUCACCGUGAGGAGUUUGAGAAAUGUAGUUUCAGCUGUAUAUGACUGUACACUCAAUUUCAGAAAUAAUGAAAAUCCAACACUGCUGGGAGUCCUAAAUGGAAAGAAAUAUCACGCAGAUUUAUACGUUAGGCGGAUCCCUUUAGGAGAAGUCCCAGAAGAUGAGGACAGGUGCGCGGCCUGGCUGCACAAGCUCUACCAGGAGAAGGACGCCCUCCAGGAGGAGUACUCCCGCACGGGCACCUUCCCCGGGACGCCCAUGGUGCCCCCGCGGCGGCCCUGGACGCUCCUCAACUGGCUGUUCUGGGCCUCGCUGCUGCUCUACCCGUUCUUCCGCUUCCUCGUCAACAUGGUCAGCAGCGGCUCCUCCCUGACGUUGGCCAGCUUCGUCCUCGUCUUCUUCGUGGCUUCCGUGGGGGUCCGAUGGAUGAUUGGUGUCACAGAAAUUGACAAGGGCUCCGCCUACGGCAACAUGGACAGCAAGCAGAAACCCAGCGACUGACCCAGGAUGCACCACCACCCAGAGGGGACCCUGGAGGACUGGUGGACACGGCCAUCAUCCUUGGAGGGACCCAGUGAUGGAGCUGGCGAGGAGAUUCUAGACCCUGAAGGAACUCCUAACCCAGCGCCCACCUUCAGCACACUUGAUUGUACCCCUUCCUUUGAGGAACACAUGAGUAACAAGGAGAGACCUCUGUAUCAGAUAAUGUGUUGGCUCUGAAGCUGACAACC